RNAcentral lists this unclassified non-coding RNA (921 nucleotides) under Hevea brasiliensis (rubber tree). Lineage: Eukaryota; Viridiplantae; Streptophyta; Magnoliopsida; Malpighiales; Euphorbiaceae. The record is from RNAcentral.
AAUCAAUCUUAUUUUUCCUUGAUUAUUUUCUUUCCCCUCCCCUUUUCACCUAUCCAAACAAAUGGUUCUCCAUUAUCACUAUUCCAAAGUAAGUUUUCCUUGCCCAAACUCAUUGUGCUCAUGUCCCCCACCUGCUAAUAUUUCAUGUAUUUUCAUUAUUAUCGUGCUGUUUAUAUGUCAGUUCAAUUUUCACACAUUUGGCUGGAAGGACUUCACUGUGGAAGGCACUGUCUCUGCAAGUGCUGGAGGCAUCAUUCAAUAUGGCUUCUGAUGUAGAAAAGCAUUUCCCCUCAAAGAGAACUACUGGUACCUUCCCUCCGCCAAACUAAGAAGUGGGUCAGUUCUGUAGUCAGUGGCCAGAUUGUGGGUGUUGUUUUCUCAUUGGUGUGAACCUGCUAUUCACAAUAUAAUUCUUCUACUGCCCCUGUCUUGGUGCCAGAAUCGCUUACUGUUCACAUUGUAAUCUUGUUGGUGCCCCUGCCUUGGUAUUGGAAUGGCUUGGCGAAUUUACUGAAUGAAAUCCUUUGCUUGAUAUUGAUUGUACGGUGAGAUAUAUAUGAAUAGGUUGCUUGAUAGGGUCUGCAAUAUCUGGCUUCUAAGCAAGACUAAGAUAUGCACUAUAAUUAUAUGUGUUUCUGAGUGGAAUCAUUGAAUGGUGUGAAGCUUUUGUUUGCCUCAAAGUAUUCAUUUCUCUUUAUCUCUUUCACUCAGGUCACAACAGCUAAAUUCCAGUAAUAAAUUGCUUCUUUGAUUUUAGUUUGCAUUUGUUUUUUUCUCUUUUCAUGCUUAUAUGUUUUGAAUGAUGAUUUAGUUGAAUUCUUUGAUUCUAGUGUUUUUCUAUUCGCAGAAGUUGGCAAUAUUACAGGAAUUCAGCUUCUUCAAUACAUUAAUUCUACCAAGCAUUAUCAUCAGUGAUCAUUA